CAAACCAUACUUUCGUUUUACCAUCCGUGGUUCAUGAGCUUCCUAACUCUGAUAAAUCUCACGCGCACACACACAAAGGGCCAAACUCAUAGGGUCUUCGCUCUAGUGUUAGAUCUCAAGCAUAAAUGAGCUCUUUUUCUCUUUUUAUUCUCUGCUUUAUCACGAAUUUCGUAUUCUAUUCCUUUUCUCUCUAAUCUUAAGGUAUUAGUUCUAAUUUUCUCCUCCUUUUCAACCUUAUUUUCUACUUUACACAUUGGAUACCAACUGGAUUUUCUUCUGAAUAUGACCAGGUCUGUGGCAUCUGAAAUGGAUUUUUCUUUUUAUAUAAAAAAAUUAAUUAAGAAAAUUGUGUUUUUGUGGGAAUGGAUCGAUCCUUUGUAGAAACCUGAGCUGCAUAUCAAAUCUGUGAAUUAUAUACAAAAUAUUGUAUCUGUACUCAUUGUUAUUAUUAAAUAGUACCUUAAAAGAAGAAUAGGGUUUUGUUUUGUGCUUGGGUUAGAUUCUUCUCGGGUACCCCUCUUCACGUUAGCAUAUUCUCGAGGAUUGGUUUUAUUCCUCCACUAUUUUCCUUUCUGAAUGUCCUCAAAUUUUUCUUUCUAAAUAUAUGUAUUCUGCGUAUCAUUUUCUUGUUAGAAUUUACAGUAUUUGACUCAAAUGCAUGGAGGAAAUGUAUAGAUUGACAGUCGUUGUUUGCGGGUGUGGCAUCAUCAAGAUUCACACAUGCAAGUAACUGCUAAAGUUCUUUGAAAGUGAGAAUCUUGAUGAUGCUGCAUCUGCAAUAAACCACUAUACAACAGAGAGGAGACUCCACAGUCCACAGUUUUACCUUUUUCACUUCAAUGAUUUAAUUGGUAUGCUUUCUAUCUACUGUUUCAGGUAAGGGUAUUUUUUUUAAAACAAAUAUUCUGCUUCUUAGUUUUAGAAUUUUUUUUUAUUUUUGUUAACAGAUGGAGCCCAUAUAUAUCAUCAGUAGUGUUUUCAGGUGUUAUAUUUAUGGCCUCAUUAACUUGGCACUGCUGACUGUUGGUAGAUCUGUGAUUAUUCUUCUGAGAAAAGCUUGAUUGGGGUACAAGGGUUACCUGAGCAAGUCUGUUUAUGCAUAGAGAGAGAGAGAGAGAGAGAGAGAGAGAGAGAGAGAGAGAGAGAGAUAUGAGACUUUGUCUACGGUACUGGGAUGAGAAAGGAGAGUGUUGAUCAGCCUUGACGAUGCUGCGAAGCUUUAAAGCAUUUUGAAAAAGAUGACAAUGAUUGGCCAAAAAUGGAAACGACCUCUUGUGUCAACAACAAGAAUCCCGCCUUUGCCAUCCUAGUCAUGGUCUAUAUCUGCUAUCAAAGAUGUUCCUCCUACUUUUCGUCAAGAGAGGAAUAGGCCUAAUAUUUUGAGGCAGAUUUAUCUUUCUCGCACACAAUCUCAUUCUAUGGGUGGUGCGACCAGGAGUGAUAUGCUCCUCACUUAGAGCCAAGAAACAUUGAUCCUCUAUGACCUUGGCGGGAAAACACCAUACCUUCUUCGCCCUGUACUCGUUCCCAGACCAUAAGUGGUGCUAGCGAGACCUCUUCUUAUCAACAUCGAAAUGCAGCAGGAUCCCAGCUUGAUGAUACUCAUAAUGAUUUACCUACUGAAGCACCUACUAGAAAGAGGAGUGCAGUUCAUCGUCGACAUGGGAGAAAGAAAUUAAAAAAACUAAUGUUAUAUACCAUGAUGAACAAUGUCAUUACGUUACACCAAUUAUAAUUGCAUAUUAAUGCCUUUUUGCUUUUC
This is a long non-coding RNA of Pyrus x bretschneideri (Chinese white pear), 1762 nucleotides long. RefSeq lists it as uncharacterized. The record is from RefSeq and is a predicted model, not a curated record. The transcript has 2 exons. NCBI's taxonomy places the organism in Eukaryota, Viridiplantae, Streptophyta, Magnoliopsida, Rosales, Rosaceae.